This 3371-nucleotide long non-coding RNA is filed under the name Pelobates cultripes (western spadefoot toad). The record is from RNAcentral. Lineage: Eukaryota; Metazoa; Chordata; Amphibia; Anura; Pelobatidae.
GUUUCACUGGUACCCAUUCCGAGAAUAUUAGAGCAAUCCUAAAUCGACCUUCCAACUGUGAGAAGUGACCUCCGUUGAUAGAUCCAUUGUACGUGGGGUUACGACCUGUUCCCUAACAGUCGGUCCAUGGGCUGCCAAGUUGACCUAUUAGCCAUAUUCCUGUAGGUGUAAAGUGCCGAGGGGUCGCGAGAAGAGACUUCCACCGUAUCUCGACUCUUGAUGUGAGAGGUGAUUCCUCCGAUCGUGUCAGGUUCACCAGGCGAUGUGGCCUUGCAGACAAACUCCAACCUCAGGCCUGUGCCUAAGUCAACCAUCAAUACUCGAAUAGAACCGAAUAGUGUCUAUUCGUUCCUUUAAGACCUACCUGGUGAAUUGUCUCCUCCGAAAUAAAGUUAUAUACAGAUAAUAGUGUGGACAAUACUAGCCGUAUCCUAAGAGACUCCAGUCUAUCAACUGGACUGCGUAAUCCACGGCUGCGGUCUAGAAAAGAGAUCCAAAGGGCGUCCAAUCAAGGUCUCAAACUGAACUCGUGUGGUAAACGGUGGUCAACUAUUCUGGGAAUUGUGGAUCCUGGAAAGCUCAAAAGGAUGGGACCGGAAACCGGGGUAGAGAUUUCCAUCCAAAUACAUCGUCCUCUAAGUGCUAAGAUGGCCAGAUCCAAUAGAGUUUAGGACCGUAUAACACAGAAGAGCCCUUACGUGUUGCAGUGAGAGUGUGAGAUACUCUGAUUACCAUUUGUACAAUCCUGUUCCAUGCCCGACCUGUCAAUAUUCGUGUAGGAGUUCCUGGCCUACACGCCACCUACAAGAUAGGGAAUAAUAUAGUGAGACCCCUAGGUUCCUGUCUCAUAGACUGUCCAAGCAUGUAUCUCCCAGUGUAGGUUUCCUUGAUGGUAGUUGAAUAGGAAGGCUAGUGAGAACCCAAAUCAAGAUGGUUCCCGUGAUGGAUAUAGAGUCCGAACACUGUUCUCAAGGUGUGUUCAGAGUUGUAGGAGCAGUCCUGCCAACUUUAUCUCAAGAUUGUAAGGACCAGGGAAGCCAAGUCCUGAGAAUUUCGGUUUCUCCAUGUGAUCCAUGCAUACGGUGCACCUGAAGACCGUUUAUGGGAAUUUUCCAGUCUUGUUACUCAAGCAAGGCAGUGCCCGUUUGCCCUAUGCAGGUCUCAGAAUCUCAUGUCACCCUGACACGGGAGAAUAGUCUGCACAGUUUGUACACAAUGAAUAUCUGAAACAGAGUGCAAUGUCUGUUUGAUAUAGCACAGGUUAUACCAAAACCUGUACUCCUGUAAGAACUGAGGCUCCUCCUUAGCCGUACUGUCUCCCAGAAUGUGUGUACAUAAGUGGGAAACCUCCCCCACUAAUACCUCUGAGGGCAUUUCUCACGUGGAUUACAAGAUGAAUCCAGACAAACUAUGUAUACCUUGCCCGAUCAGGUAGCCCGCUAGAACGAAAUCAGUAGCGCGGUCAUCAUAUUUAAACUGGAUGUAGGAGGGACGCCCCUCUAUGCGGUCAUAGUUGACCUGUACAGGUACAAGCCUGUGUGAGGAACAAAUGGACGGCACCAUAGUGCGUUGAGUGUAUGAGAGAGUCGCACUCUGUAAAAUGUGAUCGCACUCUGAGUCCGCGCACGGUUGGUGGUAUGAGCGGGCCGCACCCGUUAGACGUCAAACUUAGAGUCUACCUCUGUGUCCAGUUCCUUCUAUGAGAAUGAGUCACUCGGAGCAUGUCCUCUAUAUCCAGCUCAGUAUCGGGCCGAGGUUGAGGGAGGGCCACGCCCUCUAAUAAUGAAUCCGUGUCUGAUUCAGUAAAUGAGAGGGGUUCGCCCUCUACUCUUGAAAAUAAAAAUAUCAGUCUCGGACCGAGGUGAAGGAGGGCCGCACCCUCUGUAAUCCAAACCAGAGUCCAGUAGAGACUCAGGGUGACCAAACGUGGGGUACACCCUUAUUUAAUAUAAGCAAAGUAUACAACCUCGGGCAGUGUCCGACCUUAAGAGAAAGGAGUGAUGAGAAAAGUACGUUUCGGAGCUGAAGAUGGUAACUAUCAACGGACCGCCCGGAUCCCGUGCGUUCGGGCUCCAGGAUGACCGUCGGUAGUCUGAGGAAAGCUGGAGACGUUCUCCGCAAUCCACAAGUGCCCGGGAGGUCGGAGGAGGUCAAGUCAGGCCUCUCGACGACCCGAGCAAUAGGACAAUAGAAGGCACGAAAACAAAGAAACGACCAAUGUAAAGUGGAAAAUACGUACCUCGGAAAGCAGGUCGGAUAGCAGAACUGGAAAAAACGAAUCACGUGAAUCCAGUCAAAGAGGUCAGGAGCUAAACGUGACAUAGAAAAACACUACCAAUACCUAAUAUAGCGUCUGAGCACUGUUCCCUGCUUGUGCGAAAUUCCCAUUGGAGAUGUGUCGUCGUUGGGUAUAACCCGUAAUUGCGUGCCCGGGAAUUCUCAGAAAAACUUUGCCAUUCAGGGCAUGAGGUGUAGGGCCUUCACCCCUCCAAUCACAGUUAGAUGUCCAUAUUCUGGUGUCCUCUUGGAUAAUCUGGCAGCAGUGUCUGUCCGGACACCCACCUUUGCUUACUUCAGUGAUUCCCCCAGGUAUGUGGUCCAAAGGGGAGUUCGGGCACAGGUAGAGCAGGCCAAUCUUAUGGCACAGACCGAGCAGGCCAAUCUUAUGGGCACAGACAUAGCAGGCCAAUCUUAUGGGCACAGACAAAGCAGGCCAAUCUUAUGGGCACAGACAUAGCAGGCCAAUCUUGUGGGCACAGACAUAGCAGGCCAAUCUUAUGGGCACAGACAUAGCAGGCCAAUCUUAUGGGCACAGACAUAGCAGGCCAAUCUUACGGGCACAGACAUAGCAGGCCAAUCUUAUGGGCACAGACAUAGCAGGCCCAUUAAUGGGGCACAGACAUAGCAGGCCAAUCCUGGGUUUCAUUUUAAAUGAGUAAUGGGGACCUCUGAGUUUGGCAGAGUCCCCUAAAUAUCUGUAAAUCCUCCGGGUAUCCUGUGACCUAGUACCCUUAGACACUAAUCUUAGACAGCGUACUACUGUGUGAAUAAACCGUAACCGGGACUGGCGGUCCCUAAGUGCCCAGCAGGCAACAUAGAGGUAAAAACCAGUUGUAUAGGGUUUAAGCUGAACAUGUUCCAGUGAGUGUCCAUAAAAUCAAGCUCUGCUGAGCAAUACCUUCUUUAAGGUGCAAAUUGUAAUGCACAUGUACAUACAGCUCCGUAUGAGAUAUCUUAUCUUUAUUGUAGGUCAUCAUCAUCAUACCGCCUGAAGGGUAUUGUACUCAUGGUCUCUUCAGGAGUAGGGCAAAAACAAUUGCCAACUCAAUGACUCUUCCCAAGAAGCCUGAUAAGAUAGAAUAGUAUCGGCC